ACGGGUGAGUAACGCGUGGGUAACCUGCCUCAUACAGGGGGAUAACAGUUAGAAAUGACUGCUAAUACCGCAUAAGCGCACAGUGCUGCAUAGCACAGUGUGAAAAACUCCGGUGGUGUGAGAUGGACCCGCGUCUGAUUAGGUAGUUGGUGAGGUAAUGGCCCACCAAGCCGACGAUCAGUAGCCGACCUGAGAGGGUGACCGGCCACAUUGGGACUGAGACACGGCCCAAACUCCUACGGGAGGCAGCAGUGGGGAAUAUUGGACAAUGGGGGAAACCCUGAUCCAGCGACGCCGCGUGAGUGAAGAAGUGUUUCGGCAUGUAAAGCUCUAUCAGCAGGGAAGAAAAUGACGGUACCUGACCAAGAAGCCCCGGCUAACUACGUGCCAGCAGCCGCGGUAAUACGUAGGGGGCAAGCGUUAUCCGGAUUUACUGGGUGUAAAGGGAGCGUAGACGGCUCUGCAAGUCUGGAGUGAAAGCCCGGGGCUCAACCCCGGGACUGCUUUGGAAACUGUGGAGCUAGAGUGCAGGAGAGGUAAGUGGAAUUCCUAGU
Molecule: ribosomal RNA, 554 nt
Filed under: uncultured bacterium
Lineage: Bacteria
Description: bacterial SSU rRNA
Rfam family: Bacterial small subunit ribosomal RNA
Source: RNAcentral